Molecule: ribosomal RNA, 223 nt
Filed under: uncultured prokaryote
Description: partial 16S ribosomal RNA
Rfam family: Bacterial small subunit ribosomal RNA
Source: RNAcentral
GACAGAGGUGCCGAGCGUUAGGCGGAAUCACUGGGCUUAAAGCGUGUGUAGGCGGAUGCCUAAGUACCUUGUGAAAUCCCACGGCUCAACCGUGGAACUGCUUGGUAUACUGGGUGUCUUGAGCUGUCUAGGGGCUACCGGAACAGAUGGUGGAGCGGUGAAAUGCGUAGAUAUCAUCUGGAACGCCCAUGGUGAAAACAGGUAGCUGGGAGUGUGCUGACGC